GACGAACGCUGGCGGCGUGCUUAACACAUGCAAGUCGAGCGGUAAGGCCCUUUCGGGGGUACACGAGCGGCGAACGGGUGAGUAACACGUGGGUGACCUGCCCUCAGCUCUGGGAUAAGCCUGGGAAACCGGGUCUAAUACUGGAUAUGACUCCAUGACGCAUGUUGUGGGGUGGAAAGCCUUGUGCGGCUGAGGAUGGGCCCGCGGCCUAUCAGCUUGUUGGUGGGGNGAUGGCCUACCAAGGCGACGACGGGUAGCCGGCCUGAGAGGGCGACCGGGCCACACUGGGACUGAGACACGGCCCAGACUCCUACGGGAGGCAGCAGUGGGGAAUCUUGCGCAAUGGGCGAAAGCCUGACGCAGCGACGCCGCGUGAGGGAUGACGGCCUGG
RNAcentral lists this ribosomal RNA (391 nucleotides) under uncultured bacterium. Its description in RNAcentral is "bacterial SSU rRNA". It matches the Rfam family "Bacterial small subunit ribosomal RNA", at positions 28 to 419 of the family's 1533-position model. The record is from RNAcentral.